CAGUAACGGCGAGUGAAGCGGCAGCAGCUCAAUUUGAAAUCUGGCCCCUGGGGCCCGAGUUGUAGUUUGCAGAGGAUGCUCCGGGCGCGGCGCCUUCCGAGUUCCCUGGAACGGGACGCCACAGAGGGUGAGAGCCCCGUCUGGUCGGACGCCAAGCCUGUGUGGAGCUCCUUCGACGAGUCGAGUAGUUUGGGAAUGCUGCUCAAAGCGGGAGGUAUAUGUCUUCUAAAGCUAAAUACCGGCCAGAGACCGAUAGCGCACAAGUAGAGUGAUCGAAAGAUGAAAAGCACUUUGGAAAGAGGGUUAAAGAGCACGUGAAAUUGUUGAAAGGGAAGCGCCCGUGACCAGACCUGGGCCCGGCGAAUCACCUGGCGUUCUCGCCGGCGCACUUCACCGGGCACAGGCCAGCAUCAGCUCGACGCGGGGGACAAAGGCGGCGGGAACGUGGCUCCCCAGGGAGUGUUAUAGCCCGCCGCGCAAUGCCCCGCGCCGGACUGAGGUACGCGCACCGCAAGGAUGCUGGCGUAAUGGUCAUCGGCGACCCGUCUUGAAACACGGACCAAGGAGUCGUCUUCGUAUGCGAGUGUUGGGGUGCCAAACCCCCGCGCGGAAUGAAAGUGAACGCAGGUGAGAGCUCCGGCGCAUCACCGACCGAUCCUGAUGUUCUCGGAUGGAUUUGAGUAGGAGCAUACGGGGCCGGACCCGAAAGAAGGUGAACUAUGCCUGUGUAGGGUGAAGCCAGAGGAAACUCUGGUGGAGGCUCGCAGCGGUUCUGACGUGCGAAUCGAUCGUCAAACAUGGGCAUG
RNAcentral lists this ribosomal RNA (806 nucleotides) under Gibellula scorpioides. Its description in RNAcentral is "partial 28S ribosomal RNA". It matches the Rfam family "Eukaryotic large subunit ribosomal RNA", at positions 81 to 919 of the family's 3401-position model. The record is from RNAcentral. Lineage: Eukaryota; Fungi; Ascomycota; Sordariomycetes; Hypocreales; Cordycipitaceae.